RNAcentral lists this ribosomal RNA (492 nucleotides) under uncultured bacterium. RNAcentral's name for it is "partial 16S ribosomal RNA". It matches the Rfam family "Bacterial small subunit ribosomal RNA", at positions 29 to 507 of the family's 1533-position model. The record is from RNAcentral.
AGUGAACGCUGGCGGUAUGCCUAACACAUGCAAGUCGAACGGCAACACAGUAAGAUCUUGCUCUUACGGGUGGCGAGUGACGGACGGGUGAGGAGUACAUCGGAUUCUACUAUUUCGGGGAGGAUAACGUAGGGCAACUGCCGCUACUACCUCAUAUAUCCUACGGCUUAAAGCAGGGGUGCUUCACACCUUUCCUGAUUCAAUGAGCCGGUGUCGCAUUAGCUAGUUGGCGGGGUAAAGGCCCACCAAGGCAACGCUCCGUAGCUGACCUGAGAGGAUGAUCGGCCACACUGGAACUGAGACACGGUCCAGACUCCUACGGGAGGCAGCAGUGGGGAAUAUUGCGCAAUGGGCGAAAGCCUGAUGCAGCCACACCGCGUGAGUGAUGAAGGCCUUCGGGUCGUAAAGCCCUUUUAUUGGGAAAGAAAAGCAGUAGGUGAAUACCCCGCUGUUCUGACGGUACCUAAAGAAUAAGCACCGGCUAACUUCGUG